RNAcentral lists this long non-coding RNA (884 nucleotides) under Capra hircus (goat). RNAcentral's name for it is "lncRNA (ENSCHIG00000006130.1)". The record is from RNAcentral. Lineage: Eukaryota; Metazoa; Chordata; Mammalia; Artiodactyla; Bovidae.
CCUCUACUCUGCAAAAACAAAAGCUUAUUUAUUUGAGGAAGUCACAUGUUUUCCAUAAAAAUGAACUUACGCAUGAAAAAGACAACUUCCAAAAAAUCAUCCUUCUAUAAUCUUGGCUUUGUUUUUUGUAUAUGUUGGUUGUUUUAAAAUUUUUCUUUGAAAGUCACACACUUAGAAGUCUUAUGAAAAUCAAAAUGUCAACAUUGUCACAUUGAUCAUCUUACAGUUCUCGUGAUUGCCAUUAACAACAGUGUUUAUGAAGUACACAACUGCCCACAGUUUUCAAUGGAGCGCAAUCUCUGGUGACUUUUUUCCAAAUAAAGUGUUGCCACAUACACUCUAUUUAGUUCUCGAGAUAAUACUUUGAGGUAUUCCUCUCUUACAGGUAAAGCAAGUAGUGUUUGACUUCAAGGUGUUAGUUUCCAAACAUCACCGAGUUCUUUGUAUGAUCGAAGGGCCUGACUGCUCAUCUGCUAUGCCUGACAGGUUUACUGUUAUUGAUGUCAGAAGCUCUUCCUCUAAGGGAUCCUCUUGGGUAAGGUAGUGUCACCAAGGCAUGACUUUAACAUUCUACACAAAUUAUGGUCACUAUAGAGAUAACUAUGGGCUUCUCCUGUGGGGGUGAAAUCUGUACACAUCUCUGAAUCUACCUGAGAAAAAAUGGGGCAAUCGGAGUACUCUCACAAAAAUACUCUGAACAAUGACAUUACUGAUACUAUUACUGAGGGGAGUGUGUUCAGGAGACAAGAGCCCUCUACCGAGAACAUCCUGCUUCCAAUUCAAAUCUCAGAGUAGAACACCAAACAAGAUCACUACUUAGCCGUGUUUGUAUGUGUUGUUGUUUCUUAUCUUUCAAUUUGAGGGGCAAUGCUGUUUCAUUAAAG